This 389-nucleotide ribosomal RNA is filed under the name Malacomorpha jamaicana. RNAcentral describes it as "partial 12S ribosomal RNA". Lineage: Eukaryota; Metazoa; Arthropoda; Insecta; Phasmatodea; Pseudophasmatidae. The record is from RNAcentral.
UAAACUACGAUUAGAUACCCUAUUAUAAGGAAUGUCAAGUUUUACCAGGGUAGUAUUAGUUAUGUUCUUUAAACCCAAAGAAUUUGGCGGUGUUUUAGUCUAUUUAGAGGAACUUGCCCUGUAAUCGAUAAUCCUCGUUUUAUCUUUCUUUAUUUUGUUUUCAGUAAGUAUACCGCCGUUAUAAGUUUAUUUUUUUAGAAUUAUAAUUUACUUUAAAAAUUAUUUUUUAUUAUUUCAGGUCAAGGUGCUGCUUAUAAUUAAGUGGAGGUGAGUUACAUUAUUAUUUUAAUAUACGUAUUUUAUUUUGAAAUAUUUAAAUGAAGGUGGAUUUAAUAGUAAUUUUGAUUAUUUAAUCAUUUUGAUUCUAGCUCUAAAAUAAGUACACAUCG